UCUUGCGAAUCUUUUUGUUAAGAAGAAUUUACUAAGACGUUUAACCAAGCUCAGGGACUGCUUUAAACUAUAUGAGGUUUCAAUGAGUUAUAGACAUGAUUAGGAAGGCUUCCAUAGAGAUCAAAGUGGCACAAAUCAACAUAGGCCACAUGGAAGCUAAAAGAAACAUAAAAGUUAAUGACCACAUGAGGGAUCAUGGGUACACAAGCUUAAGAGUUCACGACAACAAAGGAAAUCAUGGCUAUGUGUGACAUCCUAAUGCCAAGUAGAGGUCUGAUAGAGCAGACAUAAUAUAAAUAUUUACAUUGCAGCAAAACUAUACAUCCAAUACAAAGUUUACAAAAGACUAUAUACUGAGACCCAGUAGCCUCUUUACAUUUCAAAAUAUAAAAUAAGAGAUAACCUAGUUACAAAAUACAGAGACUUCACCAAACUACACUUUCCGAAAGGAAUCUAAACAGGGUUCUCCAGUGUUUUCCUCCAAAUUGUCAUUUGAAGGGGGGGAGUUGGAUUUGGAUGACUUCCAAUAGUUAGUAAGAUAGAUAGAAAUAAUACAAUAUAGAUACAUUUCAAAACCUUCAUUAAUGCGUACUUGAAAAACAAUAUUUUCGAAUUUAAUUAACAAAUCAAAUCAAAUGCCAUAGUCAAAUCCCAUAACUACUAUUCAUAUCCAACUCAAAUGUUCAUCUCAUACAAAUUAUUACAAGGACGCUUACUACCAUACUUGAUCAGGUUACACAACUCACACACCCAGGACCAAACUCGUCUUUUGACACAGUUUUAAUUACCAGUUAUUAUCUUAAUUUAAAUUACAUAGAUUAUAAACCUAUACGCGUAACCGCUUACACUUAUUUCCAAAUAUGGCAAAUGGGAUAUCAACUAGUCAUUAAUGGGUGUGCAAAUGUUUACAAACAUACAAUCAUAGAUAACAAAUACAAAUGUAAUUCUUUCAAGUCUCUCCAAGUCAACAUUAUUCAUGUCUUUGGGCCCAGAACAUUAAUAUCAAAUCACCUAGAGUCCCUAAGGACAACUAAACUACAUGUCUUAUUAAGGAACCAAAACCAACACCAAUAACAUAAGUCUCUUGAACAAAUAAGCAAACCAAAUAUCCUUAGAAGGAAGUAGGGUGACUUAGAUUUAAACCAGAUAUUUUGUAUAUUUAAAUUUUUUAUUUUUAUUUUAUUUAGUUAAAUUCUUAUACUUCAUUAUCUUUCUCUAAAGUCAUAAUUUUUAUUAUAAUUCUAGAAAAAUAAAAUCUUAAUUCUUCUCAAUAUUUCAGUUUGUUUUAUAACUUGUGAAUUUUCUUAUUUUUAUAUUUAAAUUCUAAUAUUACUAAGAGAAUUCAACUAUUUAUUAAGUGAUUUAGUUUUUAACUUUCUAUUUUAAUUUAAACCUUUCAUCCCUACUAAUUGACCCAUUUUUAUCUCAAAUAAUUCCCAUAAUCCCAAAUUUUACAAAACUUUU
RNAcentral lists this long non-coding RNA (1464 nucleotides) under Carica papaya (papaya). Its description in RNAcentral is "long non-coding RNA (CPAP_LNC000212)". Lineage: Eukaryota; Viridiplantae; Streptophyta; Magnoliopsida; Brassicales; Caricaceae. The record is from RNAcentral.